Molecule: long non-coding RNA, 1026 nt
Filed under: Equus caballus (horse)
Lineage: Eukaryota; Metazoa; Chordata; Mammalia; Perissodactyla; Equidae
Description: lncRNA (ENSECAG00000055026.1)
Source: RNAcentral
CUCUGCUGGAAGCCUGAUGGGAUUUUCUUGAAUCCUCACAGUGUAAAGCUGGUAGGUCUCCCGGAAAUAAAACUCGAGAAAGUGUGGGGCUCCAAGAAGACUUGGCCCCUGAGUUUUUACUCUCAAGUUAGUUUAGACUGAGCCUGAAGAAAUUCAUCAGUCACUGUUUAAAUGUUCCUCCAGUAACUGGGUCCAGAGGAUUCUCCUGAUCUAGAGACAGAAUCCAUGUGAAUGGAAAUGAUAAGUGCUACCUCCACAUCAGGCCCUUGGAAGCCUCCAUGUGCCUGUCACCAGCUUUUCCAUUUCCAGAUGACUGGGAUGGAUUCUGCCCUCAGAGAAACCUUCAAAGGAACUGAUAACACAUUGAUCCUGCCACCUAUUUUCCAGUCCUCAUCCCUAGCCUAGCCUCACUUUUCUCCACUUCCAGAUUGGAAUUCAUGGCCUAUCAUCAUUAUCACUCCCUUGAAACAUCCGCAACAGCCUACAUAAUCUGUUUUGCCCAUAAAACUGCCCAGAGAAUCUUCAGUCUGGGAAUCUUCCAUCAACUCUGUGCUUGAAGAAAAAGACCCAAACUUGUUGACUGGACUCAUUUUAAAUCAUGACCACUAACCUCAGGUGGGACCCUGAUGUGACUUGGCAAUCCUCUUACAAUUCCCCACUCCAGUAACUCUCCCACUCUCUCCAAGAAGUAUUUUACACCAUCUUCUCUUUCCUCAAAAUGCUAUACCACCACUACUCCUAUCCUACUCUUAGUUUUCUUCUAUUUCACCAAGAAAACAGUAAUAAUCACAGAAAACAAAUUCUAAAUGUACACAGCAUGCCAUUUCUAGCUCAUCCACCAUUGUUCUCAUAUAUUUAGUCCUCACUCCUAUUAAUAAUGAUGGAUGAUUCCACUUGUUCUCUAAACAUCAGAACUAUCCCUACCUACUGUACCACUUUACAGCAAAACUGCUCUCUCCAUGUCUUCUUCUUUCAGUCUUUCUUGAACUCACUAAUUUUCUCUCAUUACCCAACAAAAUAUCUUCA